Long non-coding RNA from Clarias gariepinus (North African catfish), 235 nucleotides. RefSeq lists it as uncharacterized. The record is from RefSeq and is a predicted model, not a curated record. The transcript is spliced from 3 exons. NCBI's taxonomy places the organism in Eukaryota, Metazoa, Chordata, Actinopteri, Siluriformes, Clariidae.
UCAAGCUUGUGCAAGCAGGGCUUGGCAAAAGGACAAUCUCAAUUACAAUGGACAUGACACAUUCAGAGUUUUCCAGCUUACUGUAUGAAGCAUUCCCAAAAAUGGAGGGUUUGAGUGGAGGAUGGAUGCUUUAUAAGGCUACUGGGGGGUGUGGUGUAAGGCGGCUAAACAUUAUUCCUCCAGACUCAGAAGGUUACACUGGAUCCCAAAUCAAAACUGCCUCUGCAUCUGGAAA